UUGGAACACUGUUUCCAUUUACUAAAAGUAUGUGAAUAUUGAGGACAUGUUGAACAUGUCGAAUAAAUGUGAAAAGUAUUAAAAUACAACUAUGUAUGAAUUUGUAUGACAUAUUGUAUGUGCAUUGGGAUGAGAUUUUAUAGUUGAUGGAGGAGUUCCAUAGAGUACCAGCGACAUAUUAAGUCCGCAUAUUUACAUAGUAAGUGCACUAAAUUUAGAGUAUUGAGGGGAUUGGCGAUUAUAUCGCAUUAUUUGUUAUUUGGUAGUUUCACUACAUUAUUGAUUGUAAUAGCCUAUCUCGCCCGGGCCCAUAAAGCUAUCCAAAAAAAUAAAUAAAAUAAAUCAAAGCAACAUUAAUAAAUUAAAAGUCCAAGUCUUUUUACAAAAAUAAAGGCUAACUAUUAAGCCCAAAUUGCCUAGCCCGGUUGUUAAGAGUAACCCAAUUAACAAAACAAAUUCUAGCCCAUUUGAAACACGGCCCAAUCACAAGACUGGCCCAAAUGUCUGAAGUCUGGUUUCAGAGGCCGAAAACCUAGUCAUUCGCCUUGCACCGCAGCUAGCAGUCGGUCUCCAGCACCACAUGUGUGCCACUAGUUCCUCGCGCGCGCCUUCGCUCGUGUCUUUGUACGACUACUCCUGCAAUGGAACACAUGAGAAGAAGGAGCUAACCGAAUUUACAGCAAAUGGCAGCAAGAAAAUGUAAUUUUAUUUUUUAUUUACUCUGUAAAUCCGACUACAAAAAGCCGUCGAAUGUACCUGCAAAUACUUACGCGCAGUAAAUAUCAGAAAAAGCAUUUCGAAAGGAAAUUUUUAAAGGUGAUUUUCUGCUUUCUAGUUUCUUUAGUUCUUCGUCGAAUCAUCUCAUUUUCUUUUUCGAUUUUUCACUAUUGUAUUUAAAAAAUAAAAGAGAAAGAGAAAGGCGAGGUCUUCCCUUGCGAAUCUGCCAUAGAUUCCUCUUGGCUUUGUUGAAAUUGAAGUUGAAAGAGGAAUCACAAGGCAUCAAAUCAUCUUUUCAAGAGUACGCCGUUCGCUGAUUGUAGUGGCCGAUCGGUGUUGGAGCGAAGGGGAAGUUAGGGUUCGGCUGCAAAGUGAAAGGGAAAGGGAUUUGGUUUUCUUAUUUUUGUUUCUAAAUGGUUGAGUGUGUUAAUUUUAGGUUUUUUAGUGUUAAUUAGGUGUAUAAAACGACACCGUUUAGGGCCUAUGCCAAUGGCCCCAAAAUGAAGCCGGUUUAAGCCGACCCGCAUCGAUCCGACCCGAUCGCCCCUAGGAUCCGUGCGUUUCUGCGAAGAGGAGAUAAUUGCACAUAGGUCCUCCCCUUUCGCACAAGUCUGUAAUUGCGCCAUAUGCAUUUUGUUUCGUUUUUUUAAAUUUGGUUUUGUAAUUUGUGCUUAUUUGCGAUUGGGUCCACGCCUCAACAAAGUGUUUUGGGUUCUGGAGUAAAUCCAGCUUUAGUCUCUGUGCAUUUGCGUACAUUGCGC
Molecule: long non-coding RNA, 1478 nt
Filed under: Gossypium barbadense (sea-island cotton)
Lineage: Eukaryota; Viridiplantae; Streptophyta; Magnoliopsida; Malvales; Malvaceae
Description: long non-coding RNA (GBAR_LNC004611)
Source: RNAcentral